Molecule: ribosomal RNA, 467 nt
Filed under: uncultured bacterium
Lineage: Bacteria
Description: partial 16S ribosomal RNA
Rfam family: Bacterial small subunit ribosomal RNA
Source: RNAcentral
GAUGAACGCUGGCGGCGUGCUUAACACAUGCAAGUCGAACGGAAAGGCCCAAGCUUGCUUGGGUACUCGAGUGGCGAACGGGUGAGUAACACGUGGGUGAUCUGCCCUGCACUUCGGGAUAAGCCUGGGAAACUGGGUCUAAUACCGGAUAGGACCACAUUUUGGAUGGUGUGGUGGAAAGUUUUUCGGUGUGGGAUGAGCUCGCGGCCUAUCAGCUUGUUGGUGGGGUAAUGGCCUACCAAGGCGUCGACGGGUAGCCGGCCUGAGAGGGUGUACGGCCACAUUGGGACUGAGAUACGGCCCAGACUCCUACGGGAGGCAGCAGUGGGGAAUAUUGCACAAUGGGAGCAAGCCUGAUGCAGCGACGCCGCGUGGGGGAUGACGGCCUUCGGGUUGUAAACUCCUUUCGCUAGGGACGAAGCGUUUUUGUGACGGUACCUGGAGAAGAAGCACCGGCUAACUACGUG